This 218-nucleotide ribosomal RNA is filed under the name uncultured bacterium. RNAcentral describes it as "partial 16S ribosomal RNA". It matches the Rfam family "Bacterial small subunit ribosomal RNA", at positions 328 to 539 of the family's 1533-position model. The record is from RNAcentral.
ACGCUCGACACCUACGGGAGGCAGCAGUGAGGAAUAUUGGUCAAUGGGCGCUAGCCUGAACCAGCCAAGUAGCGUGAAGGAUGAAGGCUCUAUGGGUCGUAAACUUCUUUUAUAUAAGAAUAAAGUGCAGUAUGUAUACUGUUUUGUAUGUAUUAUAUGAAUAAGGAUCGGCUAACUCCGUGCAAGCAGCCGCGGUAAUCUGAGCGGGCUGGCAAGGC